UUGACCUCGGAUCAGGUAGGACUACCCGCUGAACUUAAGCAUAUCAAUAAGCGGAGGAAAAGAAACCAACAGGGAUUGCCCCAGUAACGGCGAGUGAAGCGGCAACAGCUCAGAUUUGGAAUCUGGCCCCCAGGGCCCGAGUUGUAAUCUGGAGAGGAUGCUUCUGGCGCGGCGCCUUCCGAGUUCCCUGGAACGGGACGCCGGAGAGGGUGAGAGCCCCGUACGGUUGGACGCCUAGCCUUUGUGAAGCUCCUUCGACGAGUCGAGUAGUUUGGGAAUGCUGCUCAAAAUGGGAGGUAAAUUUCUUCUAAAGCUAAAUACCGGCCAGAGACCGAUAGCGCACAAGUAGAGUGAUCGAAAGAUGAAAAGCACUUUGAAAAGAGGGUCAAACAGUACGUGAAAUUGUUGAAAGGGAAGCGCCCGUGGCCAGACUUGUGCCCCGCGGACCACCCGGCGCCCUCAGCGCCGGUGCACUCCGCGGGGCGCAGGCCAGCAUCGGUUUUCCUAGGGGGAUAAAGGCGGCGGGAACGUGGCUCCCUCGGGAGUGUUAUAGCCCGCCGCGCCAUGCCCCUGGGGGGACCGAGGACCGCGCUUCGGCAAGGAUGCUGGCGUAAUGGCCACCGGCGACCC
Molecule: ribosomal RNA, 630 nt
Filed under: Leptographium terebrantis
Lineage: Eukaryota; Fungi; Ascomycota; Sordariomycetes; Ophiostomatales; Ophiostomataceae
Also listed under: 1 other name
Description: eukaryotic LSU rRNA
Rfam family: Eukaryotic large subunit ribosomal RNA
Source: RNAcentral